This 3575-nucleotide long non-coding RNA is filed under the name Citrus maxima (pomelo). RNAcentral describes it as "long non-coding RNA (CMAX_LNC001232)". The record is from RNAcentral. Lineage: Eukaryota; Viridiplantae; Streptophyta; Magnoliopsida; Sapindales; Rutaceae.
CAGUUCGCGGUGACGGAGUACAACGAACGGUCAAAGAGCGCGUUGAAGUUUGAGAGCGUGGAGAAGGGCGAGACUCAGGUGGUUUCCGGCACCAAUUACCGGCUGAUCUUGGUCGUCAAGGACGGUCCUUCGAUCAAGAAAUUUGAAGCUGUCGUUUGAGAGAAGCCAUGGGAGCAUUUCAAGAGUCUCACCUCGUUUAAGCCUAUGUUUGGGGGAUGGACUCCGAUAGACCCCACGGAGAAGCACGUGAUGGAGAUCGGGCAGUUCGCGGUGACGGAGUACAACAAACGGUCAAAGAGCGCGUUGAAGUUCGAGAGGGUGGAGAAGGCCGAGACUCAGGUGGUUUCCGGCACCAAUUACCGGCUGAUCUUGGUCGUCAAGGACGGACCUUCGACCAAGAAAUUUGUAGCUGUCGUUUGGGAGAAGCCAUGGGAGCAUUUCAAGAGUCUCACCUCGUUUAAGCCUAUGUUUGGGGGAUGGACUCCGAUAGACCCCACGGAGAAGCACGUGAUGGAGAUCGGGCAGUUCGCGGUGACAGAGUAAUACAAACGGUCAAAGAGCGCGUUGAAGUUCGAGAGCGUGGAGAAGGCCUGGACUCAGGUGCUUUCCGGCACCAAUUACCGGCUGAUCUUGGUCGUCAAGGACGGACCUUCGACCAAGAAAUUUGAAGCUGUCGUUUGGGAGAAGCCAUGGGAGCAUUUCAAGAGUCUCACCUCGUUUAAGCCUAUGUUUGGGGGAUGGACUCCGAUAGACCCCACGGAGAAGCACGUGAUGGAGAUCGGGCAGUUCGCGGUGACAGAGUACAACAAACGGUCAAAGAGCGCGUUGAAGUUCGAGAGCGUGGAGAAGGCCUGGACUCAGGUCGUUUCCGGCACCAAUUACCGGCUGAUCUUGGUCGUCAAGGACGGACCUUCGACCAAGAAAUUUGUAGCUGUCGUUUGGGAGAAGCCAUGGGAGCAUUUCAAGAGUCUCACCUCGUUUAAGCCUAUGUUUGGGGGAUGGACUCCGAUAGACCCCACGGAGAAGCACGUGAUGGAGAUCGGGCAGUUCGCGGUGACAGAGUAAUACAAACGGUCAAAGAGCGCGUUGAAGUUCGAGAGCGUGGAGAAGGCCUGGACUCAGGUGCUUUCCGGCACCAAUUACCGGCUGAUCUUGGUCGUCAAGGACGGACCUUCGACCAAGAAAUUGUUAGCUGUCGUUUGGGAGAAGCCAUGGGAGCAUUUCAAGAGUCUCACCUCGUUUAAGCCUAUGCUUGGCGGAUGGACUCCGAUAGACCCCACGGAGAAGCACGUGAUGGAGAUCGGGCAGUUCGCGGUGACAGAGUACAUCAAACGGUCAAAGAGCGCGUUGAAGUUCGAGAGCGUGGAGAAGGCCUGGACUCAGGUGGUUUCCGGCACCAAUUACCGGCUGAUCUUGGUCGUCAAGGACGGACCUUCGACCAAGAAAUUUGAAGUUGUCGUUUGGGAGAAGCCAUGGGAGCAUUUCAAGAGUCUCACCUCGUUUAAGCCUAUGCUUGGGGAUGGACUCCGAUAGACCCCACGGAGAAGCACGUGAUGGAGAUCGGGCAGUUCGAGGUGACGGAGUGCAAUAAACGGUCAAAGAGCGCGUUGAAGUUCGAGAGCGUGGAGAAGGCCUGGACUCAGGUGGUUUCCGGCACCAAUUACCGGCUGAUCUUGGUCGUCAAGGACGGACCUUCGACCAAGAAAUUUGAAGCUGUCGUUUGGGAGAAGCCAUGGGAGCAUUUCAAGAGUCUCACCUCGUUUAAGCCUAUGUUUGGGGGAUGGACUCCGAUAGACCCCACGGAGAAGCACGUGAUGGAGAUCGGGCAGCUCGCGGUGACGGAGUACAACAAACGGUCAAAGAGCGCGUUGAAGUUCGAGAGCGUUUAGAAGGCCGAGACUCAAGUGGUUUCCGGCACCAAUUACCGGCUGAUCUUGGUCGUCAAGGACGGACCUUCGACCAAGAAAUUUGUAGCUGUCGUUUGGGAGAAGCCAUGGGAGCAUUUCAAGAGUCUCACCUCGUUUAAGCCUAUGUUUGGGGGAUGGACUCCGAUAGACCCCACGGAGAAGCACGUGAUGGAGAUCGGGCAGUUCGCGGUAACAGAGUACAACAAACGGUCAAAGAGCGCGUUGAAGUUCGAGAGCGUGGAGAAGGCCUGGACUCAGGUCGUUUCCGGCACCAAUUACCGGCUGGUCUUGGUCGUCAAGGACGGACCUUCGACCAAGAAAUUGUUAGCUGUCGUUUGGGAGAAGCCAUGGGAGCAUUUCAAGAGUCUCACCUCGUUUAAGCCUAUGCUUGGGGGAUGGAAUCCGAUAGACCCCACGGAGAAGCACGUGAUGGAGAUCGGGCAGUUCGCUGUGACAGAGUACAACAAACGGUCAAAGAGCGCGUUGAAGUUCGAGAGCGUGGAGACGGCCUGGACUCAGGUGGUUUCCGGCACCAAUUACCGGCUGAUCUUGGUCGUCAAGGACGGACCUUCGACCAAGAAAUUUGUAGCUGUCAUUUGGGAGUAGCCAUGGGAGCAUUUCAAGAGUCUCACCUCGUUUAAGCCUAUGCUUGGGGGAUGGACUCCGAUAGACCCCACGGAGAAGCACGUGAUGGAGAUCGGGCAGUUCGCGGUGACAGAGUACAACAAACGGUCAAAGAGCGCGUUGAAGUUCGAGAGCGUUGAGAAGGCUUGGACUCAGGUGGUUUCCGGCACCAAUUACCGGCUGAUCUUGGUCGUCAAGGACGGACCUUCGACCAAGAAAUUUGAAGCUGUCGUUUGAGAGAUGCCAUGGGAGCAUUUCAAGAGUCUCACCUCGUUUAAGCCUAUGCUUGGGGGAUGGACUCCGAUAGAGCCCACGGAGAAGCACGUGAUGGAGAUCGGGCAGUUCGCGGUGACAGAGUACAAUAAACGGUCAAAGAGCGCGUUGAAGUUCGAGAGCGUUGAGAAGGCUUGGACUCAGGUGGUUUCCGGCACCAAUUACCGGCUGAUCUUGGUCGUCAAGGACGGACCUUCGACCAAGAAAUUUGUAGCUGUCGUUUGGGAGUAGCCAUGGGAGCAUUUCAAGAGUCUCACCUCGUUUAAGCCUAUGCUUGGGGGAUGGACUCCGAUAGACCCCACGGAGAAGCACGUGAUGGAGAUCGGGCAGUUCGCGGUGACGGAGUACAACAAACGGUCAAAGAGCGCGUUGAAGUUCGAGAGCGUGGAGAAGGCCUGGACUCAGGUGCUUUCCGGCACCAAUUACCGGCUGAUCUUGGUCGUCAAGGACGGACCUUCGACCAAGAAAUUUGAAGCUAUCGUUUGGGAGAAGCCAUGGGAGCAUUUCAAGAGUCUCACCUCGUUUAAGCCUAUGGUUAAAUAGGGUGUUUAACAAAUAACAAAUGCAUGUAAUUGUUAAAUAAAGGAUAGGUAUACUAUUACCUAUCAAUCAUGGCAAUGUCUUAGUCUGUUUUAGUUCAACUUAUAAGAUUUCUUGAGAUGUACAAGAGAUCUUUUUGUUUACUUUUGAGCCAAGUAUUUUCCUGAAAAAGGAAAUAAAUCAAUAAAAAUUAUUGUGUGUCAACAUAUUGGUUAUAUUAGUCUAUACACG